GUUUUUAUAGUUAAAUUAUAACGGUAGUUUUUCAAGUUACAAAUCCUGGUUAGAAUCCUGGUAAAAAUU
RNAcentral lists this transfer RNA (69 nucleotides) under Abantennarius coccineus (scarlet frogfish). RNAcentral's name for it is "tRNA-Glu". It matches the Rfam family "tRNA". From Rfam's summary of the family: Transfer RNA (tRNA) molecules are approximately 80 nucleotides in length. Their secondary structure includes four short double-helical elements and three loops (D, anti-codon, and T loops). Further hydrogen bonds mediate the characteristic L-shaped molecular structure. tRNAs have two regions of fundamental functional importance: the anti-codon, which is responsible for specific mRNA codon recognition, and the 3' end, to which the tRNAs corresponding amino acid is attached (by aminoacyl-tRNA synthetases). tRNAs cope with the degeneracy of the genetic code in two manners: having more than one tRNA (with a specific anti-codon) for a particular amino acid; and 'wobble' base-pairing, i.e. permitting non-standard base-pairing at the 3rd anti-codon position. The record is from RNAcentral. Lineage: Eukaryota; Metazoa; Chordata; Actinopteri; Lophiiformes; Antennariidae.